GACGAACGCUGGCGGCGUGCCUAACACAUGCAAGUCGUGCGGUCUCGCCUUAAGCGAAAGGCCUUCGGGCUUUGAAGCGAAAGGCGAGAUAGCGGCGGACGGGUGAGUAACGCGUGGCUUAUCUGUCCCAGGGAGGGGGAUAACGUCUGGAAACGGGCGCUAAUACCCCAUAUGCCUAAAAGGUGAAAAGGAGAGAUCCGCCCUGGGGUGAGGCCGCGUCCUAUCAGCUCGUUGGUGAGGUAACGGCCCACCAAGGCUAUGACGGGUAGCCGGCCUGAGAGGGCGGCUGGCCACACUGGGAUUGAGAUACGGCCCAGACUCCUACGGGAGGCAGCAGUGGGGAAUAUUGGGCAAUGGGGGAAACCCUGACCCAGCGACGCCGCGUGGAGGAAGGAGCCCUUCGGGGUGUAAACUCCUGUUGUAAGGGAAGAAGAUCUGACGGUACCUUACGAGGAAGCCCCGGCAAACUACGUG
Molecule: ribosomal RNA, 474 nt
Filed under: uncultured bacterium
Lineage: Bacteria
Description: bacterial SSU rRNA
Rfam family: Bacterial small subunit ribosomal RNA
Source: RNAcentral